UUAAGGGCGCACGGUGGAUGCCUAGGAGCAAGAAGCCGAUGAAGGGCGUGGUAAGCUGCGAUAAGCCACGGUGAGCCGCAAACAGGUGUUGACCCGUGGAUCCCCGAAUGGGAGAACCCAACCACCGAAUGGGUGGUUACCCACCGCUGAACCCAUAGGCGGUGUGGAGGGAACCUGGGGAACUGAAACAUCUAAGUACCCAGAGGAAAAGAAACCGAACGGGAUUCCCUCAGUAGCGGCGAGCGAACGGGGAACAGCCUAAACCGUAGGUGCGUGCACCUGCGGGGUCGUGGGACUGACACCAAGGAUCGAAGUGCUUAGCAGAAGUUGCCUGGAAAGGCACGCCACAGCGGGUGAUAGCCCCGUAUGCGAAAAGUUCCUUCGACCAGUCAGCAUCCCGAGUAGCACGGGAUAAGAGGAGACCUGUGCGAAUCCGCCCGGACCACCGGGUAAGGCUAAAUACUUCUUGCUACCGAUAGUGCAACCAGUACCGUGAGGGAAAGGUGAAAAGCACCCCGGAAGGGGAGUGAAAAGAACCUGAAACCGUGCGCUUACAAGCAGUCGGAGGGCUAUGCCCCGCAAGGGGAACAGCCUAACGGCGUGCCUUUUGCAGAAUGAGCCGGCGAGUUAUGCUCAGUGGCAAGGUUAAGUGCCUCAGGCACGGAGCCGCAGCGAAAGCGAGUCCGAAGAGGGCGACUGAGUCGCUGGGUGUAGACCCGAAACCGCGCGAUCUAUCCCUGGUCAGGGUGAAGCCGUGGUAACACACGGUGGAGGCCCGAACUGGUGUCCGUUGAAAAGGGCUCGGAUGAACUGGGGAUAGUCUGGUGAAAUGCCAAUCGAGCGCGGAGAUAGCUGGUUCUCCCCGAAAUGCAUUGAGGUGCAGCCUCACGCGCUAUGCUAUGCAGGUAGAGCCACUGGAUGGGCUAGGGGCCCCACCAGGUUACUGAACCCAACCAAACUCCGAAUGGCAUAGCAAGAAGCGUGGGAGUGAGACAGCGACGGAUGAGCGCCGUUGUCGAAAGGGCAAUAGCCCAGAUCGCCCGCUAAGGUCCCUAAGCACGAGCUAAGUGUUAAAGGAUGUAGGGUCGCGUAAACAACCAGGAGGUUGGCUUAGAAGCAGCCAUCCUUUAAACAGUGCGUAACAGCUGACUGGUCGAAUGUGACCCUGCGCCGAUAAUGUAAGGGGGCUCAAGCUCGUCACCGAAGCGGCGGGUUCCGUAAGGAGCGGUAGGGGAGCGUUCGGUACGCAGUGAAGGUGGAGCGGAAGCACCGCUGGAGCGUACCGAAGUGAGAAUGCCGGCACGAGUAGUGAGAAGACAGGUGAGAAUCCUGUCCGCCGAAAACCUAAGGUUUCUUCAGGCAGGUUCGUCCGCUGAAGGUUAGGCGGUCCUAAGUCGAGGGCGAAAAGCCGUAGGCGAAGGGCAGUGGGUCAACAUUCCCACCCCAGAUGAUGGAGCCAAGCGGGGACGCUUCACGAGAGGUCGGGCGCGGAGCUGGAAGGCCGCGUUCCCGUAAGGGACGAAGGGAUCCUUCGGGUGAACGAAGCGACCUUGACUGGAGCCGAGAAAAGCCGUGUAGCGUUGAAGUCAUCUGACCGUACCGCAAACCGACACAGGUAGGUGAGGCGAGGAGCCUCAGGCGCGCGAGAGAAGUCCCGCUAAGGAACUCGGCAAAUUGACCCCGUAACUUCGGGAGAAGGGGUGCCUCCGCAAGGAGGUCGCAGCAAAGAGGGCCCGGCGACUGUUUACCAAAAACACAGCUCUCUGCUAAGGGGAAACCCGACGUAUAGGGGGCGACGCUUGGCCAAUGCCCGUAGGUUAAGGGGAGGGGUCAGCCGCAAGGUGCAGCCCUAAACUGAAGCCCGGGUGAAUGCCGGCCGUAACUCUAACGGUUCGUAACAGGGCCGUUGUAAAAUCUGGCUAUAUGCUGGAACAGCUCGUGGAUCCCACGCUACCGAGGAGGUGACAACGCGAUGGGUGGAGCCAAUCAGCAGGAAAGGCUCGCUAAAACCGAAGCCGCCAAGUGGUUCCUUGCAGGGUUCAUCGAAGGGGAAGCCUCCCUGCUCGUCGGUAUCAAGCACCACGAAACCAGCCGAUACGGCUACUAUGUAGACCCCGAAUUCCAUCUGGUACAACACCAGAGCGGACGGGAGGUGCUGGAACUGGCACAGCAGGUGUUUCAAGCAGGACGCAUCUACCCAAAGCCCGACAGUCCAAACUGCCUCGUCUACGCCAUCCACUGUAGGCGAACGCUUUGGGAAAAACUGGUGCCCUUCUUUGAAACCUAUGUUGUUCCUUUCAGCUCCCAAGCCAAGCGCGAAACUUUCUAUCGUUUCCGCGAAAUCUUGGAGCUGAUGAACCAAGGCAACCACAGGACCCCCGAAGGACUGGCACGCAUCGUCGAGAAGGCGUAUGCGAUGAACCCAGCCGCAAAGGGGAAGCAACGACUACGACCGUUGCACGAGGUAUUAGCGAGAAUCCUCAGAGACCACACGCCAGACACUCUGAAACACUCGGAGUGAAGAUAUGGUCCAGUCCCUAUGGCGACAUAGGGGGUAACUGCCUAUGGUAGAUUCGCUGCCCCCCUUGUGGGUAACCACAAGGUGAGCAUCCGGCUAUAUGCUGGAAAACCCGAGUAUCCAGCGGUACUUGCAAGGAUUGGCUUCGCACUCAGCGAAACAAUUACUUGUGAGUAACAAUCCGACUGGUGCGGACAACCAGCAGGAAAGACUAAUCCCUGUCGG
Molecule: ribosomal RNA, 2743 nt
Filed under: hot springs metagenome
Description: bacterial LSU rRNA
Rfam family: Bacterial large subunit ribosomal RNA (bases 5-1979)
Source: RNAcentral